GAGUUUGAUCCUGGCUCAGAACGAACGCUGGCGGCGUGCUUAACACAUGCAAGUCGAACGCGAACGAGUUCUUCGGAACUUUAGUAGAGUGGCGCACGGGUGAGUAACGCGUAAGUAAUCUACCCUCGCAUUUGGGAUAACCCACCGAAAGGUGAGCUAAUACCGGAUACGUCUGAAAUAAUAUCUUUUUUUCAGAGAAAGAUGGCCUCUUCAUGAAAGCUAUUGUGCGGGGAGGAGCUUGCGUACCAUUAGCUAGUUGGUAGGGUAAUGGCCUACCAAGGCAACGAUGGUUAGCGGGUCUGAGAGGAUGAUCCGCCACACUGGAACUGGAACACGGACCAGACUCCUACGGGAGGCAGCAGUGAGGAAUAUUGCGCAAUGGGGGCAACCCUGACGCAGCGACGCCGCGUGGAUGAUGAAGGCCUUCGGGUUGUAAAAUCCUGUCAGAUGGGAAGAAGUGCUAUAGUCUUAAUACGAUUAUAGUUUGACGGUACCAUCAAAGGAAGCACCGGCUAACUCCGUGCCAGCAGCCGCGGUAAUACGGAGGGUGCAAGCGUUGUUCGGAAUUACUGGGCGUAAAGCGCGCGUAGGCGGCUUUUUAAGUCAGGUGUGAAAGUCCAUGGCUCAACCAUGGAAGUGCAUUUGAAACUGGAAGGCUUGAGUAUUGGAGGGGGUGGUGGAAUUCCCGGUGUAGAGGUGAAAUUCGUAGAUAUCGGGAGGAAUACCGGUGGCGAAGGCGACCACCUGGCCAAAUACUGACGCUGANGUGCGAAAGCGUG
This 779-nucleotide ribosomal RNA is filed under the name uncultured bacterium. RNAcentral's name for it is "bacterial SSU rRNA". It matches the Rfam family "Bacterial small subunit ribosomal RNA", at positions 9 to 763 of the family's 1533-position model. The record is from RNAcentral.